Molecule: ribosomal RNA, 613 nt
Filed under: uncultured archaeon
Lineage: Archaea
Description: bacterial SSU rRNA
Rfam family: Archaeal small subunit ribosomal RNA
Source: RNAcentral
UGCGAGUCGAAUGUAGCAAUACAUGGCGUACUGCUCAGUAACACGUGGACAACCUGCCCUUAGGACGGGUAUAAACCCGGGAAACUGGGUAUAAUUCCCGAUAGGUCUCGUCUGCUGGAAUGCAUCGAGAUCCAAAGCUCCGGCGCCUAAGGAUGGGUCUGCGGCCUAUCAGGUAGUAGUGGGUGUAGCGUACCUACUAGCCUACGACGGGUACGGGUUGUGAGAGCAAGAGCCCGGAGAUGGAUUCUGAGACACUAAUCCAGGCCCUACGGGGUGCAGCAGGCGCGAAAACUUUACAAUGCUGGGAACAGCGAUAAGGGAACCUCGAGUGCCAGGUUACAAAUCUGGCUGUCGUGAUGCCUAAAAAGCAUUAUAUAGCAAGGGCCGGGCAAGACCGGUGCCAGCCGCCGCGGUAACACCGGCGGCUCGAGUGGUAACCGUUAUUAUUGGGUCUAAAGGGUCUGUAGCCGGCCGGAUAAGUCUCUUGGGAAAUCUGGCAGCUUAACUGUCAGGCUUUCAGGGGAUACUGUCUGGCUCGAGGCCGGGAGAGGUGAGAGGUACUUCAGGGGUAGGGGUGAAAUCUUGUAAUCCUUGAAGGACCACCAGUGGCGAA